RNAcentral lists this small RNA (862 nucleotides) under Pongo abelii (Sumatran orangutan). RNAcentral's name for it is "retained intron". The record is from RNAcentral. Lineage: Eukaryota; Metazoa; Chordata; Mammalia; Primates; Hominidae.
CCAUACCAGAUUCUGUGGCCUGCAGGUGACAUGCUGCCUAAGAGAAGCAGGAGGACGGUCAGCAAAAGCAUUGGUCCCACCUGCCCCUUUGCUGGAAGCUGUGAAGUCAGCAAGACUCAGAGGCGCCACUGCCCAGCCUGCAGGUUGCAGAAGUGCUUAGAUGCUGGCAUGAGGAAAGACACCUCCAGCUCAUCUCUUCAUCCAUCACCAGCCCUUGCCCACCCUGGCCCCUGUGAUGCCUCUGGUCACACACUUCGCAGACAUCAACACUUUCAUGGUACUGCAAGUCAUUAAGUUUACUAAGGACCUGCCCGUCUUCCGUUCCCUGCCCAUUGAAGACCAGAUCUCCCUUCUCAAGGGAGCAGCUGUGGAAAUCUGUCACAUCGUACUCAAUACCACUUUCUGUCUCCAAACACAAAACUUUCUCUGCGGGCCUCUUCGCUACACAAUUGAAGACGGAGCCCGUGGUGAGAUGGUGCUAGAGCAGUAGGGGGCAUGUGUCCUCAUGGUACAGUAUGUGGUCAGGUGACCUAGAGGCUCCUAAUCCUAGUAUCUCCCGCAGUGGGGUUCCAGGUAGAGUUUUUGGAGUUGCUCUUUCACUUCCAUGGAACACUACGAAAACUGCAGCUCCAAGAGCCUGAGUAUGUGCUCUUGGCUGCCAUGGCCCUCUUCUCUCCUGGUGAGCAUCCCCCAAAGCCCAGAGCCUUUUGCACCACCUCUGCCCAAACACUCAGCUCCUUGAGUCCAUCCACCCAGGCCUUCUAGCCUAACCGUCAAACCUGCAGACUAGGUCUAUCCCAGCCUCAGUCCCCGGGGCACCAUGCAGGCCCACCCCUGCCACCCACCUUGUCCUUCCCAGCUC